AAUUUAAUGAAUGCUGUAGUGCAAACAGUGAAAAUGUCAUACAUCGCCUCCACCAAGAUCAUCCGCAUCCAGAGUUCUGCAGGGCCCCGGCACCCAGUUGUCAUGUGGAGAAUGAAGGCUCCGGCUAAAAAGCCCUUGAUUAAAAGAGAGAAGCCAGAAGAAACAUGGGCAGUUGUCAGAAGAGGCUCCGCCAAGAAAAAAAUCCACCCAGUUCAAGUCAUGAGUGAAUUCAGAGGGAGACAAGUCUACUGAAUACCGUCAUCCACUCUAGUGCCCAUUUCUACACCCCAGGCUAACCACACCGCUUUAUUUCAUGGUUCAUUGGUUCUUUAAUUUCACCAAGUUUAAGAGUUAAACUCCCAAAUAACAUAAAACAUUGGGGUUAAA
RNAcentral lists this long non-coding RNA (387 nucleotides) under Rattus norvegicus (Norway rat). RNAcentral describes it as "long non-coding RNA NONRATT017733". The record is from RNAcentral. Lineage: Eukaryota; Metazoa; Chordata; Mammalia; Rodentia; Muridae.